AGAGUUUGAUCAUGGCUCAGGAUGAACGCUAGCGGGAGGCCUAACACAUGCAAGUCGAACGGGAUCCAUGACUUAUUGUGGUGAGAGUGGCGCACGGGUGAGUAACGCGUAUGCAACUUACCUUUAACAGAGGGAUAGCCCAUAGAAAUGUGGAUUAAUACCUCAUAGUUCUGAGAUUUCGCAUGGGAUUUCAGAUAAAGCUCCGGCGGUUAAAGAUGGGCAUGCGUGACAUUAGCUAGUUGGUAAGGUAACGGCUUACCAAGGCAACGAUGUCUAGGGGUUCUGAGAGGAUGAUCCCCCACACUGGUACUGAGACACGGACCAGACUCCUACGGGAGGCAGCAGUGAGGAAUAUUGGUCAAUGGGCGCAAGCCUGAACCAGCCAUCCCGCGUGAAGGAUGAAGGUCCUAUGGAUUGUAAACUUCUUUUAUACACCAAGAAAAACUCCCACGAGUGGGAGCCCGACGGUAGUGUAUGAAUAAGCAUCGGCUAACUCCGUGCCAGCAGCCGCGGUAAUACGGAGGAUGCAAGCGUUAUCCGGAUUCAUUGGGUUUAAAGGGUGCGUAGGCGGCUCUUUAAGUCAGUGGUGAAAUCCUGCCGCUUAACGGUAGAAUUGCCAUUGAUACUGAAGAGCUUGAGUACAGUUGAGGUAGGCGGAAUGUGUAGUGUAGCGGUGAAAUGCUUAGAUAUUACACAGAACACCGAUUGCGAAGGCAGCUUACUAAACUGUUACUGACGCUGAUGCACGAAAGCGUGGGGAGCGAACAGGAUUAGAUACCCUGGUAGUCCACGCCGUAAACGAUGCUCACUCGCUGUAUGCGAUACACAGUAUGCGGCCAAGCGAAAGCAUUAAGUGAGCCACCUGGGGAGUACGAUCGCAAGGUUGAAACUCAAAGGAAUUGACGG
This 906-nucleotide ribosomal RNA is filed under the name uncultured bacterium. RNAcentral describes it as "bacterial SSU rRNA". It matches the Rfam family "Bacterial small subunit ribosomal RNA", at positions 8 to 916 of the family's 1533-position model. The record is from RNAcentral.